GCGGAAGAUGUAACGGGGCUAAACCAUGCACCGAAGCUGCGGCAGCGACACUCAGGUGUUGUUGGGUAGGGGAGCGUUCUGUAAGCCUGCGAAGGUGGCCUGUGAGGGUUGCUGGAGGUAUCAGAAGUGCGAAUGCUGACAUAAGUAACGAUAAAGCGGGUGAAAAGCCCGCUCGCCGGAAGACCAAGGGUUCCUGUCCAACGUUAAUCGGGGCAGGGUGAGUCGACCCCUAAGGCGAGGCCGAAAGGCGUAGUCGAUGGGAAACGGGUUAAUAUUCCCGUACUUGGUGUUACUGCGAAGGGGGGACGGAGAAGGCUAUGUUGGCCGGGCGACGGUUGUCCCGGUUUAAGCGUGUAGGUGUGUGUUCCAGGUAAAUCCGGUUCACUUUAACACUGAGGCGUGACGACGAGGCACUACGGUGCUGAAGCAACAAAUGCCCUGCUUCCAGGAAAAGCCUCUAAGCAUCAGGUAACAUCAAAUCGUACCCCAAACCGACACAGGUGGUCAGGUAGAGAAUACCAAGGCGCUUGAGAGAACUCGGGUGAAGGAACUAGGCAAAAUGGUGCCGUAACUUCGGGAGAAGGCACGCUGACACGUAGGUGAAGUGAUUUACUCAUGGAGCUGAAGUCAGUCGAAGAUACCAGCUGGCUGCAACUGUUUAUUAAAAACACAGCACUGUGCAAACACGAAAGUGGACGUAUACGGUGUGACGCCUGCCCGGUGCCGGAAGGUUAAUUGAUGGGGUCAGCGCAAGCGAAGCUCCUGAUCGAAGCCCCGGUAAACGGCGGCCGUAACUAUAACGGUCCUAAGGUAGCGAAAUUCCUUGUCGGGUAAGUUCCGACCUGCACGAAUGGCGUAAUGAUGGCCAGGCUGUCUCCACCCGAGACUCAGUGAAAUUGAACUCGCUGUGAAGAUGCAGUGUACCCGCGGCAAGACGGAAAGACCCCGUGAACCUUUACUAUAGCUUGACACUGAACAUUGAGCCUUGAUGUGUAGGAUAGGUGGGAGGCUUUGAAGUGUGGACGCCAGUCUGCAUGGAGCCGACCUUGAAAUACCACCCUUUAAUGUUUGAUGUUCUAACGUGGACCCGUGAUCCGGGUUGCGGACAGUGUCUGGUGGGUAGUUUGACUGGGGCGGUCUCCUCCUAAAGAGUAACGGAGGAGCACGAAGGUUGGCUAAUCCUGGUCGGACAUCAGGAGGUUAGUGCAAUGGCAUAAGCCAGCUUGACUGCGAGCGUGACGGCGCGAGCAGGUGCGAAAGCAGGUCAUAGUGAUCCGGUGGUUCUGAAUGGAAGGGCCAUCGCUCAACGGAUAAAAGGUACUCCGGGGAUAACAGGCUGAUACCGCCCAAGAGUUCAUAUCGACGGCGGUGUUUGGCACCUCGAUGUCGGCUCAUCACAUCCUGGGGCUGAAGUAGGUCCCAAGGGUAUGGCUGUUCGCCAUUUAAAGUGGUACGCGAGCUGGGUUUAGAACGUCGUGAGACAGUUCGGUCCCUAUCUGCCGUGGGCGCUGGAGAACUGAGGGGGGCUGCUCCUAGUACGAGAGGACCGGAGUGGACGCAUCACUGGUGUUCGGGUUGUCAUGCCAAUGGCACUGCCCGGUAGCUAAAUGCGGAAGAGAUAAGUGCUGAAAGCAUCUAAGCACGAAACUUGCCCCGA
This 1657-nucleotide ribosomal RNA is filed under the name Salmonella enterica. RNAcentral describes it as "partial 23S ribosomal RNA". It matches the Rfam family "Bacterial large subunit ribosomal RNA", at positions 1163 to 2802 of the family's 2925-position model. Lineage: Bacteria; Pseudomonadati; Pseudomonadota; Gammaproteobacteria; Enterobacterales; Enterobacteriaceae. The record is from RNAcentral.